GAAGAUCCCGCCGGCGUUCCUCGGCGGCGCCUUUACUAGGGCGAGUUACUCUUCUUACCGGUGGGUCCAUCUGCCCCUCAGAAGCUACCGCCGUAGCAUCUUCGCAGAGAGAGAGAGAGAGAGGACGAGUUUCAGAGCGCUUCUCCGUCGUCCGUUCGGCCAUGGGCUAACGGAGUCACUACAGCCAGUCGCUCUCUUUCUCUCUCGCUCUCUCUGUCUUAACUGUGUGCGCUCUGAAACUUAGCUGGCGCUGGCAAGAAGAACAAAAACCGUCGAGGGGAGUGCAGUACAAUGAAG
RNAcentral lists this long non-coding RNA (297 nucleotides) under Spirodela polyrhiza (greater duckweed). RNAcentral describes it as "long non-coding RNA (SPOL_LNC002652)". The record is from RNAcentral. Lineage: Eukaryota; Viridiplantae; Streptophyta; Magnoliopsida; Alismatales; Araceae.